UUACAUAGGAUUUUAUUUGAAUCAUAGUCGGUUGGUCCAGUAGAUAGAAAUGAGCUAUCCAAUUAUGCUAUACAAUACUACAAUUAAUUAACACGGAGGAUCGUGAUGGGAGGAUUAUGAAUUUUUUACUCUCAAGUCUUAAUUAAGUAUUACGAGUUCGAGUCGUAAAUAUGGUUUCUUCACUCUUACUCAAACAUUCCGGCUUCAAGCGAUGAGGGCAAAACUAAAUUUGCUUAGCUCUGCUUCUAUUUAAGAUAUCCAUGUUUUAACUUUUGAUGCCUGCUAAAUUACUUUGUUUUAACACGUUUUAUCGAUAAUUCAUAUCAGCGUUUUGCACCUUGCCUUAUGUACCUCCACAAAAGAAAAGUAAGUGUUGAAGUGAUAGCACAAUGAAGAUUCUUCCUGUUAAGGACUUAGCUUAGUGAAGACAUACACUUAUAUUUUGUUUUAGUAUGUUUUGUUUAUUAUUACCAUAAUGAGUAAUGAUAUUAAUUACUUUGUAGUGCAUAUAUUUUACUUCAAAAUUUUUAUUUGUUUUAGCAUUUUCUGUUUAUUAUCUUUCUACUAUAUUAGAAGUGCGAGUAAGUAGGUGAAAUUGACAGCACUUCGUCGACAUCCCUGCUUGCCGACAGACAAUAUUUUGGUAUUUUUUUCGAUUUAAAAUUUCAAUUAUGCCCUUCUAAUAUUGGAUUUUUGCGCCUCCGAAAAGGAUUUUAUGGUAAUUUGCACAUAAGCCGAAAAGGUUGCCGCUUCAAGUUUGUGUUUAUCCUUUCCUUUGCGUUUCUUCUUCCGUAGUUUUCUCUUGUUUUCGUUUGGAUUUACAUAGCUUCUUCCUACUGAUUUCCACACUUCUCACCAAAAAAAAAAAAUCAACUUGGAGUUGUUAAUCUCAAGUUGCGCAAUCGAGGUUUGCAAUGAUUAUUUACUUUCAGUCACUGAUUUCUCUGAAGAACAGAGUUCUAAUACUCAGACAGUUACAGAAUCUUUUGGAUGUUUUCUUCUCGGAAAAUAUUCAACUACUUAUAUAUCCUUAUCCAUUUAAUUGUAAGUUUUUCAACUUCUUCGUGCUUCUUGGAUUAAUUCCAGUUGCAAAAAUAGCAGCAAAAGAUUAUUUCUUUAGUAUUGUGUGAUUCAUUAGUUCAAUUUUCCCAGUUUGAUUGAUUAAGAUAUUUAAGAAGAGUUAAAUGAGCUAAUCCAUCAGGCAAAACUCGAUGAUGUCCAUUAACAUAUAAAAUUGCUUCCUUUGACUCAUCUCCCAUCCUUUCUAUUUUUUACUCUCAUCCAUCAAUGAACCCAUUUUUCAAAGAUUUGAUUUUUUUCAGUAAUGAAAAAUUAUUUUAGCUUUGAUGAUUGAAGGAGACAAAAGAAAGAAAAGUUUAGUUUAUAUUACUGAAAAAAAGAUUUGAAAAGAGUAAUAUGUUACAUGUAAGUUACAUAGGAUUUUAUUUGAAUCAUAGUCGGUUGGUCCAGUAGAUAGAAAUGAGCUAUCCAAUUAUGCUAUACAAUACUACAAUUAAUUAACACGGAGGAUCGUGAUGGGAGGAUUAUGAAUUUUUUACUCUCAAGUCUUAAUUAAGUAUUACGAGUUCGAGUCGUAAAUAUGGUUUCUUCACUCUUACUCAAACAUCCCGGCUUCAAGCGAUGAGGGCAAAAAUAAAUUUGCUUAGCUCUGCUUCUAUUUAAGAUAUCCAUGUUUUAACUUUUGAUGCCUGCUAAAUUACUUUGUUUUAACACGUUUUAUCGAUAAUUCAUAUCAGCGUUUUGCACCUUGCCUUAUGUACCUCCACAAAAGUAAAGUAAGUGUUGAAGUGAUAGUACAAUGAAGAUUCUUCUUGUUGAGGACUUAGCUUAGUGAAGACAUAC
RNAcentral lists this long non-coding RNA (1863 nucleotides) under Nicotiana tabacum (common tobacco). Its description in RNAcentral is "long non-coding RNA (NTAB_LNC000217)". Lineage: Eukaryota; Viridiplantae; Streptophyta; Magnoliopsida; Solanales; Solanaceae. The record is from RNAcentral.